This 523-nucleotide ribosomal RNA is filed under the name Paenibacillus larvae. Its description in RNAcentral is "bacterial SSU rRNA". It matches the Rfam family "Bacterial small subunit ribosomal RNA", at positions 1012 to 1533 of the family's 1533-position model. Lineage: Bacteria; Bacillati; Bacillota; Bacilli; Caryophanales; Paenibacillaceae. The record is from RNAcentral.
CUUUUCCUUCGGGGACAGAGGAGACAGGUGGUGCAUGGUUGUCGUCAGCUCGUGUCGUGAGAUGUUGGGUUAAGUCCCGCAACGAGCGCAACCCUUGAUCUUAGUUGCCAGCACGCAGAGGUGGGCACUCUAAGAUGACUGCCGGUGACAAACCGGAGGAAGGUGGGGAUGACGUCAAAUCAUCAUGCCCCUUAUGGCCUGGGCUACACACGUACUACAAUGGUCGGUACAACGGGAAGCGAAGGAGCGAUCCGGAGCCAAUCCUCAAAAGCCGAUCUCAGUUCGGAUUGCAGGCUGCAACUCGCCUGCAUGAAGUCGGAAUUGCUAGUAAUCGCGGAUCAGCAUGCCGCGGUGAAUACGUUCCCGGGUCUUGUACACACCGCCCGUCACACCACGAGAGUUUACAACACCCGAAGUCGGUGAGGUAACCGCAAGGGGCCAGCCGCCGAAGGUGGGGUAGAUGAUUGGGGUGAAGUCGUAACAAGGUAGCCGUAUCGGAAGGUGCGGCUGGAUCACCUCCUUU